RNAcentral lists this transfer RNA (65 nucleotides) under marine eukaryotic metagenome. It matches the Rfam family "tRNA". Rfam says of the family: Transfer RNA (tRNA) molecules are approximately 80 nucleotides in length. Their secondary structure includes four short double-helical elements and three loops (D, anti-codon, and T loops). The record is from RNAcentral.
CCGGUAGCUCAGAGGUAGAGCAAAUGACUCUUAAUCAUUAGGUCGAGGGUUCGAAUCCCUCCCGG